GGGGGCGUGGCCGAGCGGUUGAAGGCAGAUGUCUUGAAAACAUCCAGGCGAUGAGCCUCGUGGGUUCGAAUCCCACCGCCCCCUCCA
This 87-nucleotide transfer RNA is filed under the name Chloroflexota bacterium. Its description in RNAcentral is "Chloroflexi bacterium (hot springs metagenome) tRNA-Ser". It matches the Rfam family "tRNA". From Rfam's summary of the family: Transfer RNA (tRNA) molecules are approximately 80 nucleotides in length. Their secondary structure includes four short double-helical elements and three loops (D, anti-codon, and T loops). Further hydrogen bonds mediate the characteristic L-shaped molecular structure. tRNAs have two regions of fundamental functional importance: the anti-codon, which is responsible for specific mRNA codon recognition, and the 3' end, to which the tRNAs corresponding amino acid is attached (by aminoacyl-tRNA synthetases). tRNAs cope with the degeneracy of the genetic code in two manners: having more than one tRNA (with a specific anti-codon) for a particular amino acid; and 'wobble' base-pairing, i.e. permitting non-standard base-pairing at the 3rd anti-codon position. The record is from RNAcentral. Lineage: Bacteria; Bacillati; Chloroflexota.